RNAcentral lists this ribosomal RNA (399 nucleotides) under uncultured bacterium. RNAcentral describes it as "bacterial SSU rRNA". It matches the Rfam family "Bacterial small subunit ribosomal RNA", at positions 29 to 456 of the family's 1533-position model. The record is from RNAcentral.
AACGAACGCUGGCGGCAUGCCUAACACAUGCAAGUCGAACGAGACCUUCGGGUCUAGUGGCGCACGGGUGCGUAACGCGUGGGAACCUGCCUUUAGGUUCGGAAUAACUCAGAGAAAUUUGAGCUAAUACCGGAUAAUGUCUUCGGACCAAAGAUUUAUCGCCUUUAGAUGGGCCCGCGUUGGAUUAGCUAGUUGGUGGGGUAAAGGCCUACCAAGGCGACGAUCCAUAGCUGGUCUGAGAGGAUGAUCAGCCACACUGGGACUGAGACACGGCCCAGACUCCUACGGGAGGCAGCAGUGGGGAAUAUUGGACAAUGGGCGAAAGCCUGAUCCAGCAAUGCCGCGUGCAGGAUGAAGGCCUUCGGGUUGUAACUAGCUUUGUACGGUACGAAACGGUGA